Molecule: ribosomal RNA, 405 nt
Filed under: uncultured bacterium
Lineage: Bacteria
Description: bacterial SSU rRNA
Rfam family: Bacterial small subunit ribosomal RNA
Source: RNAcentral
ACGGGUGCGUAACGCGUAUGCAAUCUACCUUCACAAAGGGAUAGCCCAGAGAAAUUUGGAUUAAUACCUUAUAGUAAUACGACUUGGCAUCAAGAUGUAUUUAAAGAUUUAUCGGUGAAAGAUGAGCAUGCGUCCCAUUAGCUUGUUGGUAAGGUAACGGCUUACCAAGGCAACGAUGGGUAGGGGUCCUGAGAGGAGAUCCCCCACACUGGUACUGAGACACGGACCAGACUCCUACGGGAGGCAGCAGUGAGGAAUAUUGGACAAUGGGCGCAAGCCUGAUCCAGCCAUGCCGCGUGCAGGAUGACGGUCCUAUGGAUUGUAAACUGCUUUUGUACAGGAAGAAACCCUUUCACGUGUGGAAGAUUGACGGUACUGUAAGAAUAAGGAUCGGCUAACUCCGUG